Molecule: long non-coding RNA, 1390 nt
Organism: Triticum aestivum (bread wheat)
Lineage: Eukaryota; Viridiplantae; Streptophyta; Magnoliopsida; Poales; Poaceae
Exons: 2
Source: RefSeq, a predicted model, not a curated record
UAGACGCCACAAGGCCGCCGCCCUUCACAACACACACAUCAUGAGAUCCAUCCAUUCACCGCGCACGGCCAGAGAGGGGAGAACCCAUGCACGCAAACAUCCAUCACGCGCACCUAUAACAUCCAUCCAUCACACGUCUACGCGGCCACGCAGCCGGCGGAAGACCAGAUCGCAUCCACGGGCCAACGCAGCCGGGCGAGAAUGCCGGCGCCAGCGACAUGGACACCAAGCUCACGUUCCAAAAGGUGUCAUGUUCUUGGCCUGAGAUGACUCGGGAGCUGCCGGAGCUCGCCAACGACGCAGCCCAACCGCUAGCCCCGACGCUCCUCUAACAUGGUAGUCUACAUGUCCCCGGCGAACAGGUCACGAUGCACGGAUCACAACGAACAGGUCAUCGGUGCAACAGGUCCAUGGCGUGCCGAUCACGGUGCACAGGUUUGGCCUCUUGCUUCCCGGAUGAGACGGCGGGGCGGAGCCGGAGCCCGCCAACGACGCAGCCCGAGACCCGUCUUUCCCUUCAUGGUGUACAGAUCUUUGUUUGAACCAGAGCUCGAUGACGCCGCAGCCCGAGAUUCGCCUUUUCCUUCAUGGCGUAUAGAUCUUUGCCUGAACUGAAGUUUGCAACGUUGCAGUCGAAGACCGGUUCCCUCUUUCAAGAGGUGCACCCAUUGUGGCGAACAAGUCCUUGGCAUACAGGUCCACGGCAUCGCCGGCGUACAGGCCACCCUUUGGCGUAGCACUAGCCCAAGGCGACGCGCCCUCUACAACGCCACAUUUUCCAUGACCUGGUGAGGCGGCCCCUUUGUCUUGGCGGACCGCCGAAUACACGGCGUCUAGCCAAGACGAGGUGCCAACCACCCGGGCCACGCCCAUGUGAGCGCGCUAGUUUUUACACUGACGCCGGUCUCCCAAACCAUUACUCCCGCAAGGUGUAGCCCCUUGCACACCCUGACGAAGUAACCGGUCGUCGAGAAGUCCAAGCCGAGCGCGACCCAUGUUACCUCAACACCAACUACUCCAACGCCGCCAAGACCGACGAGGCACGACGGUGAGGGCGGGCGUGGCCACCGCUAAGGCCAUGCUACAUGCGGCACGUGUACCGACAAGGACACAGGCAAUGUCGCCGCCCACACAGACAUCACCAUUAUUAUGCAUGGAGAACGCGAAGCGAAGACGACGAAGACGACCACACAGCUUAAUCGGAGGUAUCCCGCGGAGCAACCCGCGGGAGUAAUUAACCGGGAGCCUUCCGAGGCCCCGGGAACCAGGAGACCGCAAUCGCCACAGUCAGGCUGGCCGUGCCAGUAGGCCAUGGAGCGUAUUUGUUUUCUUUACGGGAUCUUGUAAUUCUGUUUCUCCAAUGAGAUUAAUGAAAUACUCGUUUCCUGUA